Molecule: ribosomal RNA, 243 nt
Filed under: Heterixalus alboguttatus (whitebelly reed frog)
Lineage: Eukaryota; Metazoa; Chordata; Amphibia; Anura; Hyperoliidae
Description: partial 16S ribosomal RNA
Rfam family: tRNA (bases 167-240)
Source: RNAcentral
UCUGAGUUCAGACCGGAGUAAUCCAGGUCGGUUUCUAUCUAUAAAAAGUCUUUCCUAGUACGAAAGGACCGAAAAGACAUGGCCAAUAUUUUAACAAGCCAUACUUUAUUACUAAUGAUAUCAACUUAAUUAGAAAAAAAUUUAUUAUAAUAAUUUAGAUAAAAUUGUUGACGUGGCAGAAUUCGGUUAUGCAAAAGACCUAAGCUCUUUAUACUAGAGGUUCAAAUCCUCUCGUCAACUNAA